This 220-nucleotide ribosomal RNA is filed under the name Microbacterium sp. RNAcentral's name for it is "partial 16S ribosomal RNA". It matches the Rfam family "Bacterial small subunit ribosomal RNA", at positions 568 to 787 of the family's 1533-position model. The record is from RNAcentral. Lineage: Bacteria; Bacillati; Actinomycetota; Actinomycetes; Micrococcales; Microbacteriaceae.
CUCGUAGGCGGUUUGUCGCGUCUGCUGUGAAAUCCCGAGGCUCAACCUCGGGCCUGCAGUGGGUACGGGCAGACUAGAGUGCGGUAGGGGAGAUUGGAAUUCCUGGUGUAGCGGUGGAAUGCGCAGAUAUCAGGAGGAACACCGAUGGCGAAGGCAGAUCUCUGGGCCGUAACUGACGCUGAGGAGCGAAAGGGUGGGGAGCAAACAGGAUUAGAAACCC